UAUUUUCCCCAUAGCGGUGGGGUGACUUCCCUGGUCACCAGAGCAGUACCUGCAUGUUGGAGUUACCUUUGCCUUUUCUAUAAGUUUUACCAAAUCAUCCACUUAGGUCCUUUCACUUGUACCAUUCCUUCAAAUAAAGUAAUUUGAUACCC
Phyllostomus discolor (pale spear-nosed bat) is the source of this 152-nucleotide long non-coding RNA. RefSeq lists it as uncharacterized. The record is from RefSeq and is a predicted model, not a curated record. The transcript is spliced from 4 exons. NCBI's taxonomy places the organism in Eukaryota, Metazoa, Chordata, Mammalia, Chiroptera, Phyllostomidae.